GUUCCGGCGCUGUAGGAUGUGGCUGCGGCCGAUUAGGUAGAUGGUGGGGUAACGGCCCACCAUGCCGAUAAUCGGUACAGGUUGUGAGAGCAAGAGCCCUGGAGACGGUAUCUGAGACAAGAUACCGGGCCCUACGGGGCGCAGCAGGCGCGAAACCUUUACACUGCACGAAGUGCGAUAGGGGGACUCCGAGUGUGAGGGCAUAUAGCCCUCGCUUUUCUGUUACCGUAAGGUGGUACAGGAACAAGGACUGGGCAAGACCGGUGCCAGCCGCCGCGGUAAUACCGGCAGUCCAAGUGAUGGCCGAUAUUAUUGGGCCUAAAGCGUCC
Molecule: ribosomal RNA, 329 nt
Filed under: halophilic archaeon
Lineage: Archaea; Methanobacteriati; Methanobacteriota; Halobacteria; Halobacteriales
Description: bacterial SSU rRNA
Rfam family: Archaeal small subunit ribosomal RNA
Source: RNAcentral